UUCCAGACUCCUACGGGAGGCAGCAGUGGGGAAUAUUGCACAAUGGGGGAAACCCUGAUGCAGCGACGCCGCGUGAGUGAAGAAGUAUUUCGGUAUGUAAAGCUCUAUCAGCAGGGAAGAAAAUGACGGUACCUGACUAAGAAGCCCCGGCUAACUACGUGCCAGCAGCCGCGGUAAUACGUAGGGGGCAAGCGUUAUCCGGUUUUACUGGGUGUAAAGGGAGCGUAGACGGCAGUGCAAGUCUGGAGUGAAAGGCGGGGGCUCAACCCCCGGAGUGCUCUGGAAACUGUGCGGCUGGAGUGCAGGAGAGGUAAGUGGAGUUCCUCGUGUAGCGGUGAAAUGCGUAGAUAUUAGGAGGAACACCAGUGGCGAAGGCGGCUUACUGGACUGUAACUGACGUUGAGGCUCGAGAGCGUGGGGAGCAAACAGGAUGAGAUACC
Molecule: ribosomal RNA, 440 nt
Filed under: uncultured bacterium
Lineage: Bacteria
Description: bacterial SSU rRNA
Rfam family: Bacterial small subunit ribosomal RNA
Source: RNAcentral